This 755-nucleotide ribosomal RNA is filed under the name uncultured Mycoplasma sp. RNAcentral's name for it is "bacterial SSU rRNA". It matches the Rfam family "Bacterial small subunit ribosomal RNA", at positions 28 to 776 of the family's 1533-position model. Lineage: Bacteria; Bacillati; Mycoplasmatota; Mollicutes; Mycoplasmatales; Mycoplasmataceae. The record is from RNAcentral.
GAUGAACGCUCGCUGUGUGCCUAAUACAUGCAUGUUGAACGGGAUGUAGCAAUACAUUCAGUAGCGAAUGGGUGAGUAACACGUACCUAACCUACCUUUAAGACUGGGAUAACUAUUGGAAACAAUAGCUAAUACCGGAUAUAGUUAUUUAUCGCAUGAUGAGUAAUAGAAAGGAGCUUCACAGCUUCACUUAAAAAUGGGGGUGCGGAACAUUAGUUAGUUGGUAGGGUAAUGGCCUACCAAGACGAUGAUGUUUAGCCGGGCCGAGAGGCUGUACGGCCACACUGGGACUGAGAUACGGCCCAGACUCCUACGGGAGGCAGCAGUAAGGAAUUUUCCACAAUGAGCGAAAGCUUGAUGGAGCGACACAGCGUGCAGGAUGAAGUUCUUCGGAAUGUAAACUGCUGUUAUAAGGGAAGAAAAAAUAGAAUAGGAAAUGAUUUCAUCUUGACGGUACCUUAUUAGAAAGCGACGGCAAACUAUGUGCCAGCAGCUGCGGUAAUACAUAGGUCGCAAGCGUUAUCCGGAAUUAUUGGGCGUAAAGCGUCCGUAGGUUUUUUGCUAAGUCUGGAGUUAAAUGCUGAAGCUCAACUUCAGUCCGCUUUGGAUACUGGCAAAAUAGAAUUAUAAAGAGGUUAGCGGAAUUCCUAGUGAAGCGGUGGAAUGCGUAGAUAUUAGGAAGAACACCAAUAGGCGAAGGCAGCUAACUGGUUAUAUAUUGACACUAAGGGACGAAAGCGUGGGGAGCAAACAGG